UAGGGAAUCUUCGGCAAUGGGGGCAACCCUGACCGAGCAACGCCGCGUGAGUGAAGAAGGUUUUCGGAUCGUAAAACUCUGUUGUUAGAGAAGAACGUUAAGUAGAGUGGAAAGUUACUUAAGUGACGGUAUCUAACCAGAAAGGGACGGCUAACUACGUGCCAGCAGCCGCGGUAAUACGUAGGUCCCGAGCGUUGUCCGGAUUUAUUGGGCGUAAAGCGAGCGCAGGUGGUUCCUUAAGUCUGAUGUAAAAGGCAGUGGCUCAACCAUUGUGUGCAUUGGAAACUGGGGAACUUGAGUGCAGGAGAGGGGAGUGGAAUUCCAUGUGUAGCGGUGAAAUGCGUAGAUAUAUGGAGGAACACCGGAGGCGAAAGCAGCUCUCUGGCCUGUAACUGACACUGAGGCUCGAAAGCGUGGGGAGCAAACAGG
This 429-nucleotide ribosomal RNA is filed under the name uncultured bacterium. Its description in RNAcentral is "bacterial SSU rRNA". It matches the Rfam family "Bacterial small subunit ribosomal RNA", at positions 355 to 776 of the family's 1533-position model. The record is from RNAcentral.